This 875-nucleotide ribosomal RNA is filed under the name Furcasterigmium furcatum. RNAcentral describes it as "partial large subunit ribosomal RNA". It matches the Rfam family "Eukaryotic large subunit ribosomal RNA", at positions 38 to 937 of the family's 3401-position model. The record is from RNAcentral. Lineage: Eukaryota; Fungi; Ascomycota; Sordariomycetes; Glomerellales; Plectosphaerellaceae.
GCAUAUCAAUAAGCGGAGGAAAAGAAACCAACAGGGAUUGCCCUAGUAACGGCGAGUGAAGCGGCAACAGCUCAAAUUUGAAAUCUGGUCCUUUCAGGGCCCGAGUUGUAAUUUGCAGAGGAUGCUUCGGGUACGGGUGCCUACUGAGUUCCCUGGAACGGGACGCCAUAGAGGGUGAGAGCCCCGUCUAGUAGGAUACCCAGCCCAUGUGAAGCUCCCUCGACGAGUCGAGUAGUUUGGGAAUGCUGCUCUAAUGGGAGGUAUACUCCUUCCAAGGCUAAAUACCGGCUGGAGACCGAUAGCGCACAAGUAGAGUGAUCGAAAGAUGAAAAGCACUUUGAAAAGAGAGUCAAAUAGCACGUGAAAUUGUUGAAAGGGAAGCGCUCGCUACCAGACUUGAGUUAGGCGGUUCAACCGGGGCCACGCCCCGGGGCACUCCACCUGCUCAGGCCAGCAUCAGCUUUCCGUCGGGGGCAAAGGCGUCGGGAAUGUGGCUCUCCUCCGGGAGAGUGUUAUAGCCCGGCGUGUCAUACCCUUCGGGGGGCUGAGGUACGCGCUUCUGCAAGGAUGCUGGCGUAAUGGUAGCUAGUGACCCGUCUUGAAACACGGACCAAGGAGUCAACCUUAUGUGCGAGUGCCCGGGCGUAAAACCCCAGCGCGGAAUGAAAGUGAACGUAGGUGAGAGCUUCGGCGCAUCACCGACCGAUCCUGAUGUCCUCGGACGGAUUUGAGUGAGAGCAUAUAGGGUUGGACCCGAAAGAAGAUGAACUAUGCGUGUGUAGGGUGAAGCCAGAGGAAACUCUGGUGGAGGCUCGCAGCGGUUCUGACGUGCAAAUCGAUCGUCAAACAUGCGCAUGGGGGCGAAAGACUAAUCG